CCUGCUUCAGCCUCCCGAGUAGCUGGGACUACAGGCGCCUGCCACGACGCCCGGCUAAGUUUUUGUAUUUUUAGUAGAGACGGGGUUUCACCGUGUUAGCCAGGAUGGCCUGGAUCUCCUGACCUCGUGAUCCGCCCGCCUUGGCCUCCCAGAGUGCUGGAUUCCAGGCGUGAGCCACCGCGCCCGGCCCCUCUUUCUCCAUCUUUAAAGACAGCAGGGUUAGGCCUAGGUACAGUUGUGUGCUGGUAAAUUUGUAACAAAAGGCUCUCCAGGGGAAGAAAAGCCCUGAUUUUCAGUGUUUGCCAAUUUCCACGGUAUUAAAAGUACUCACACCAAGGCCGGUUUUAAGCAGUGCUCCUGAAGUCCCUGAAGACAGAGUUGAAAAGCAUCGUGCACAGUUGACUCUUCUAAGCUAGUCCGAGCUGGCUCCAACACACUACUGCCUAUGCUACUUCAGCAAGCCUGUUCUCUUUGGAAAUCUCCAGAGGAGACAGAGGUGUCAGUGUCUAUGGAAAUGUACAACUCACACGUUUGGGAAUCUGACAUGCCCUUCCAAGAACUCCCUCUUCUACUCCGUUCUACUCCACUAUGAGCAUUAUUCAAAAGAGCCAAGAUAUGGAAGCAACUGAAGUGCUCAUCAACAGGUGAGUGGAUUUUUAACAAGUAGUAUAUGUACAUGAUGGAAUAUUAUUUGGCCUUAGAAAUGAAAGAAAUUCUGUCAUUUGUGACCACAUGGAUGAAUCUAGAGGACAUUAUGCUAUGUGAAAUAAGCCAGGCACAGAAAGACAAAUAUCACAUGAUCUCACUUCUGUGUGGAAUCUAAAAAAGUCAAACUCUUAGAGAAGUAGAAAACAGAAUAGUGGUUACGAGAAGCAGAGGGGAGGGGAGGAGAGUGCAUGGUGAAAGAGAUGUUGGUCAAAGGUACAAAGAUUAGUUAGACAUGAGAAAUAAGUUCUGGUGAUCUGUACAGCAUGGUGACUAUAGUGAAUAAUGUACUGUAGAUUUCAAAAUUACUAUAAAAGAAUGGAUUUUUAAUAUUCUCACUAUAGGGAAAUGAUAAGUGUGUGAGGUGAUGGAUGUAUUAGCCUGAUUCCAUCCUUCCACAAAUGCAGACAUGUAUCAAAAGAUCACAUUGUACUCCAUAAAUAUGUAUAUUUAUUAUUUG
This 1165-nucleotide long non-coding RNA is filed under the name Homo sapiens (human). Its description in RNAcentral is "HSALNT0046667". Lineage: Eukaryota; Metazoa; Chordata; Mammalia; Primates; Hominidae. The record is from RNAcentral.